GGGGGUGUAGCUCAGUGGUAGAGCAUCUGACUUUUAAUCAGGUGGUCGAAGGUUCGAUCCCUUCCACCCUCACCA
Molecule: transfer RNA, 75 nt
Filed under: Candidatus Zixiibacteriota bacterium
Lineage: Bacteria; Pseudomonadati; Candidatus Zixiibacteriota
Description: tRNA-Lys
Rfam family: tRNA
About the family: Transfer RNA (tRNA) molecules are approximately 80 nucleotides in length. Their secondary structure includes four short double-helical elements and three loops (D, anti-codon, and T loops). Further hydrogen bonds mediate the characteristic L-shaped molecular structure. tRNAs have two regions of fundamental functional importance: the anti-codon, which is responsible for specific mRNA codon recognition, and the 3' end, to which the tRNAs corresponding amino acid is attached (by aminoacyl-tRNA synthetases). tRNAs cope with the degeneracy of the genetic code in two manners: having more than one tRNA (with a specific anti-codon) for a particular amino acid; and 'wobble' base-pairing, i.e. permitting non-standard base-pairing at the 3rd anti-codon position.
Source: RNAcentral